This 1387-nucleotide ribosomal RNA is filed under the name Anabaena sp. SN421. RNAcentral's name for it is "bacterial SSU rRNA". It matches the Rfam family "Bacterial small subunit ribosomal RNA". The record is from RNAcentral. Lineage: Bacteria; Bacillati; Cyanobacteriota; Cyanophyceae; Nostocales; Nostocaceae.
AGAGUUUGAUCCUGGCUCAGGAUGAACACNGACGGGAUGCUUACCAUGCAGUCGACGGAAUCUUCGGAUUUAGUGGCGGACGGGUGAGUAACGCGUGAGAAUCUAGCUCUAGGUCGGGGACAACCACUGGAAACGGUGGCUAAUACCGGAUGUGCCGAAAGGUGAAAGAUUAAUUGCCUAGAGAUGAGCUCGCGUCUGAUUAGCUAGUUGGUGUGGUAAGAGCGCACCAAGGCGACGAUCAGNAGCUGGUCNGAGAGGAUGAUCAGCCACACNGGGACUGAGACACGGCCCAGACUCCNACGGGAGGCAGCUGUGGGGAAUUUUCCGCAAUGGCGAAAGCCUGACGGAGCAANACGCGUGAGGGAGGAGGCUCUUGGGUUGUAAACCUCUUUUCUCAGGGAAUAAGAAAGUGAAGGUACCUGAGGAAUAAGCAUCGGCUAACUCCGUGCCAGCAGCCGCGGUAAUACGGAGGAUGCAAGCGUUAUCCGGAAUGAUUGGGCGUAAAGCGUCCGCAGGUGGCACUGUAAGUCUGCUGUUAAAGAGCAAGGCUCAACCUUGUAAAGGCAGUGGAAACUACAGAGCUAGAGUACGUCGGGGCAGAGGGAAUUCCUGGUGUAGCGGUGAAAUGCGUAGAGAUCAGGAAGAACACCGGUGGCGAAAGCGCUCUGCUAGGCCGUAACUGACACUGAGGACGAAAGCUAGGGGAGCGAAUGGGAUUAGAUACCCCAGUAGUCCUAGCCGUAAACGAUGGAUACUAGGCGUGGCUUGUAUCGACCCGAGCCGUGCCGGAGCCAACGCGUUAAGUAUCCCGCCUGGGGAGUACGCACGCAAGUGUGAAACUCAAAGGAAUUGACGGGGGCCCGCACAAGCGGUGGAGUAUGUGGUUUAAUUCGAUGCAACGCGAAGAACCUUACCAAGACUUGACAUGUCGCGAAUCUUCUUGAAAGGGAAGAGUGCCUUAGGGAGCGCGAACACAGGUGGUGCAUGGCUGUCGUCAGCUCGUGUCGUGAGAUGUUGGGUUAAGUCCCGCAACGAGCGCAACCCUCGUUUUUAGUUGCCAGCAUUAAGUUGGGCACUCUAGAGAGACUGCCGGUGACAAACCGGAGGAAGGUGGGGAUGACGUCAAGUCAGCAUGCCCCUUACGUCUUGGGCUACACACGUACUACAAUGCUACGGACAGAGGGCAGCAAGCUAGCGAUAGCAAGCAAAUCCCGUAAACCGUACCUCAGUUCAGAUCGCAGGCUGCAACUCGCCUGCGUAAAGGAGGAAUCCCUAGUAAUUGCAGGUCAGCAUACUGCAGUGAAUUCGUUCCCGGGCCUUGUAAACACCGCCCGUCAAACCAUGGAAGCUGGCAACGCCCGAAGUCAUUACUCCAACCAUUCCUGGG